UACGAAGGGGGCUAGCGUUGUUCGGAAUUACUGGGCGUAAAGCGCGCGCAGGCGGUCUUCCAAGUCAGUGGUGAAAGCCCGGAGCUCAACUCCGGAACUGCCAUUGAAACUGUAAGACUUGAGGACGAGAGAGGUGAGUGGAACUGCGAGUGUAGAGGUGAAAUUCGUAGAUAUUCGCAAGAACACCAGUGGCGAAGGCGGCUCACUGGCCCGAUACUGACGCUGAGGCACGAAAGCGUGGGGAGCAAACAGG
This 253-nucleotide ribosomal RNA is filed under the name uncultured bacterium. RNAcentral's name for it is "partial 16S ribosomal RNA". It matches the Rfam family "Bacterial small subunit ribosomal RNA", at positions 524 to 776 of the family's 1533-position model. The record is from RNAcentral.